RNAcentral lists this ribosomal RNA (497 nucleotides) under uncultured bacterium. Its description in RNAcentral is "partial 16S ribosomal RNA". It matches the Rfam family "Bacterial small subunit ribosomal RNA", at positions 28 to 507 of the family's 1533-position model. The record is from RNAcentral.
GAUGAACGCUGGCGGCGUGCCUAAUACAUGCAAGUCGAGCGAACGGACGAGAAGCUUGCUUCUCUGAUGUUAGCGGCGGACGGGUGAGUAACACGUGGAUAACCUCCCUAUAAGACUGGGAUAACUUCGGGAAACCGGAGCUAAUACCGGAUGAUAUUUUGAACCGCAUGGUUCAAAAGUGAAAGACGGUCUUGCUGUCACUUAUAGAUGGAUCCGCGCUGCAUUAGCUAGUUGGUAAGGUAACGGCUUACCAAGGCAACGAUGCAUAGCCGACCUGAGAGGGUGAUCGGCCACACUGGAACUGAGACACGGUCCAGACUCCUACGGGAGGCAGCAGUAGGGAAUCUUCCGCAAUGGGCGAAAGCCUGACGGAGCAACGCCGCGUGAGUGAUGAAGGUCUUCGGAUCGUAAAACUCUGUUAUUAGGGAAGAACAUAUGUGUAAGUAACUGUGCACAUCUUGACGGUACCUAAUCAGAAAGCCACGGCUAACUACGUG